AUCUCUCAUUCUUUUUUCUUUUA
Molecule: small nuclear RNA, 23 nt
Filed under: Arabidopsis thaliana (thale cress)
Lineage: Eukaryota; Viridiplantae; Streptophyta; Magnoliopsida; Brassicales; Brassicaceae
Description: snRNA_12571
Source: RNAcentral